This 4050-nucleotide long non-coding RNA is filed under the name Capra hircus (goat). RNAcentral describes it as "lncRNA (ENSCHIG00010018557.1)". The record is from RNAcentral. Lineage: Eukaryota; Metazoa; Chordata; Mammalia; Artiodactyla; Bovidae.
AUGCUGGCCUGGUUUCUGCCCAGCUGGGCCCAACAGUGCCCAAGAGACCCAAUUUCCAACCUCUCCAGGGAAGAAGGAGUCCCUAGAGGCCAAAGACCUCCUUCCUUCUCAGUCUUCCUCCUCACGACAACCACUCAAGCCCCCAUACCUCAGCUUUACCAGGGACAGGUCCAAGCCCGAAGAAAAGUAAGAAAAUCCAUGAUGCUUACCGACUCAGGCCCUGUUCCUCUCCCCACUCAGCCUCACAUUCACUCAGGGCAGCACAAACCCGAGUGGCCGUUAGAAAGUGGAGUGGCGCGAGGCUCACGGCGCGAAGCCUGACCACGUGCACAGCUCGCUGGUCCCGCAGGGAAUCCGAGGCAGAAGCUGAUUGGCCGCAGUACUGGCCACACCCUCUUUAUUGGCUCCACUCCCCGCCCUCCCCUUGCCCUUCAAUCCCCGCCUCUGCCUCGCGACCUCCGCUGAUUGGCUGCAGAGCCCAAGCUCUUGCCCACCUGGCCGGCGCUGUGGCGAGGAGGCCUUAAGUCUGAUUGGUCUGCGGACUUAGACUUCAGGCCUCUAAGGCUGAGAUCUCAUCCACCAACUGGUCCUCAAGGUUUUGUAGCUGCGGAGAUUGCUCGUCCCAUCUUCUAAAAGACUGAACCUCCUUCAUCUGCAUCACCUUGGAAGCUCCCUCCGUAAGGGCUCAGGGAUAUCACUUCUUUCUUGGUUCUGUCUUAAAAUCCUGAGUAACUCUCACUGCAAAGUCUUUCACCUUUCUCUCAACCCCUUACAAUCUGUGGAGAAAUGAAUGUGAUUGGAUAGGGGCGGGGGGGGGGGGGGGGGGNNNNNNNNNNNNNNNNNNNNNNNNNNNNNNNNNNNNNNNNNNNNNNNNNNNNNNNNNNNNNNNNNNNNNNNNNNNNNNNNNNNNNNNNNNNNNNNNNNNGGGGGGGGGCGGGGAAGGCAGCCAGGCUUUGAAUGCUUGUGGGUAGCUCCCCUUUCCCGCCUUUUGCCCUGCUGAACGAUUAAUUGGCUGCAGAACGCGCCCUGCCCCAUCCGGGAGUAUAGGGAAACAGAAGACACAAGCGUGGGCAGUCAAUGCUCCAUUGACUCCUUAACAGUCAGCUGAGUCGGGAUUUAACUGCGUACUUCACGUACCAACCGCUGCUACACCGUAAAGAGAAUGACCCAUUAUGCUGCCCUGCCAUUAACUUGCCCCGGGUUAGAACCCGGCCAGCGGGCUUUCUGAUUAGGCGGCGUUUUGGUGCUGACACACCAUGCCAUUCUGAGGUGGGUCGACGGCCCACUAUCCUUGCUAACAUAGCACGGUGGAUAGGUUGGCCCCACUCCUAAGUGGCUUAGCUUGGACGCAUCCAAUCAGGCGUGAGGGCUCUUUAAGGAGGCGGGGCAUUGCUCCACCGCUUCCGCUUCUCAUUGGUCCCGAGGCUCGCUUCUUCGCCUUUGAUUGAUCAGAGGGCCAGAGGGAGCCAAGCCCAGCGGUUUCGGGCGGCGGGUACAAUUCUGUCCCUUUUGCUUCUUUGCAGCUUCGGGGUUCUGGCGAGUGUUGUUUGGCGUCUCUUUCCCGUGGCUAGUGAAGAAAUGGGGGUGGGGUGUGGCAUGGGGGAGGAUCUGGAAGGGGCCAUGCUGAGGGGGGCGUGACUCANNNNNNNNNNNNNNNNNNNNNNNNNNNNNNUGCGAAGGCGAGUGCCUGGGCACGUGGGAGCUAAUAAUCCUUCAGAUAGUAGGGGAAAGACAGGCGCUGUAGCAUUGUUAACAACAGCUCCGACUUUAAGCCCUUUCUUUGUUUCUCAUCUCAUUGACUCCUUCUAUUACUAGCCAGGUUGAACACGGAGGGCUAGAGGUGGUCACUUGUCUCAGGUUCCACAGUGAACAUGGGCAUUGCUGGGACUCUGACCUUUUUCUGGUGAGAAUUCAACAUCCGAGCUACACUAUAGUUAAAUAGGCUUGAUCUUGUAGAUGUGGAAUCGGGUGUGAUGUGGUCACAUUAACCUUGGUUUAACUUCAUCUAUAAAUAAGGUUUUUGUUUGGGGUUUUUUGUUUGAUUGGUUUUUGUUGUCGUUUUUAGACUUGAAUCCCAUUCCCAUCCUGAAGGCCCAGAACAUAUUUUCAACUCCUCAGGGCAAAUGCAUUUGCAUUCUAGAAAAGGAUAUUUUAAAAAUCCGCAUCAUGAUAUCGCUGCUGGUUUUUGGUCACUAACAUCAAACCAGGCCAGUUUAAAGUGCUUUACAUGCAUCAUCUGAUUGAAUCCUCCUAACAAGUUCAAUCAGAUAUUUACUAUUUUUCUUACUUCACAGAUAAGUAAAUCGUGGCUGAUUUCCCUAAGAUCUCACCAGGAGUAAUUGCCAAAGCUGGAAUUGAAUUCCUGUUGCAAUUUGACUCUAGAGCCUAAGCUCCUAACUGCUGAUAUAUACUGUCUCUCAUGCUAACAGCUAGUGUCCAGAGAGAGGGCACACAUGGUCCCAGGGAAUCCUCACAGCCACCCCAGGAAGAAGAAUGACAGCACCCAUUAAAGCAGACAACUGAGGCUCAUGGAAGUGAAGACACUCAGCUCACACAGCUAGUCCAUGAUUGAGCAAGGAGUAGAAUGAAUGAUACCCAGUCUUCUGAAUCCAAACCCACAGUCUUAAUCUCUCCUCACACUGCUUCCCUCCCAUUUGACUGGUGGAGAAAUUGAGGCCCUGAGGAGAAAUCAAAGCUUGAACUCAGAUCCAGAUCUAUGAGACCCAGGAGAUCACCCCCAUACCACAUUGCCUCCAAGAAUUCGGUGUCUAGUAGAUUCUGUGUUUGGACAUGACUGAAGCGACUAAGCACACACAGCACAGAUCCUGUGUUAGGUGAGGUGAAAAGUCUUCUCAGCCAGCCAGCCUUGUCUGCAAGCAGUGAGGUCAUCUGGCCCCAAAGCUGGCCCUAAAGGUAGUUGGGAGACUAUUUCACAGCCUUGGAAUCUUUGGCGGCUUCUCACUGAGAAGCCUGUAAUCAUAAUUGUGACAAUUUAUUGAACACUUUUUAUGAGUCAGGUGAGGUGGAAAGCGUUCUGCAUGUAUCACCUCACUAAAUCCUUUUAAUUCUAGGGUAUAGCAAUUGUUAUUGUCUCCAUUUUACAGGUAAGCAAACUGAGACCCUGGGAUGGAUGAAACAUUUCUAUGCUUACAGAGCUAGUGAAUCAUGGAGCCUGGAUUGGAAUCCAGCCCUUACUCAAGCCCUCAAUUCCAGCUACUCAGCACAUGCAAGCAUGAGAAGAUGGAGUGAGGGACCCUGAGUUCUGGCAAGAUGGAAUAGGAAGCAUUGUUGGCUUCAUUCUGGAAGUCAUAAGAUUAGAAGAGUCAGCUGUAUGAGAUGAGUAGAGAAAUAACUAUGGCUUAUGGACCAGCGAUCCCAUGCCAGGUCCUAUGUUAACUAGAUUUAUGUUGAAAAGCAGAGAAUCUUGUGGUUAAGAAGCUGGACACUGGAUCCAGUCUGCCUGGAUUCAUGUUCUUGCCUUACUACUUGCUAGUUAUGAGACCUUUAGCAGCUUACUUAACCUGUCUUGACCUCAAUUUCCUCAUCUGUAAAGUGGGGUUAAUGAUACUAAAUACCUGUUAGGACUGUCAAGAGGAUUAAAUGAACUAAUAGAACAACAGCAUCUCUUCUCUUCCGCAGUGCCCUGACACUGAGUUGUUUCCUUGUAAUCAGUAUCACCUGCCUUAAUUCUGGUGUAGACACUGAAAAUUAAGUCCAGAUAUUUGCAAUGGGAAAAUAUAGGGGAAGUAUUCUCCUGUGGCAAGUACAAAGCCCUUGAGAGAGCAGUGAACUUAGCAUUUCUGAGGGAUAGCACGAAGUCCAGCUGGAGCCAGGCAGAUGACUAAGACUCAGGAGUUCAACUUAGCUGCACAUGUGCUCAUAAGAGGCAUCAAAACGACCUUGUACUUUUCAAAGCAUGAUGGACUUUACCUAAGCUUUGACCUCUGGGGAAACUCAAGGCCAUGUUUAUUUUUGAGGCUCAGUAUGCAAGCACAGGUAGUGGGGCAGGAGGAGAAGGGGAUGACAGAGGAUGAGAUGGCUGGAUGGCAU